This 373-nucleotide ribosomal RNA is filed under the name uncultured bacterium. RNAcentral's name for it is "bacterial SSU rRNA". It matches the Rfam family "Bacterial small subunit ribosomal RNA", at positions 525 to 896 of the family's 1533-position model. The record is from RNAcentral.
ACGAGGGGGGCAAGCGUUGUUCGGAAUUAUUGGGCGUAAAGGGUGCGUAGGUGGUUCGGCAAGUCUUGUGUGAAAUCUUCAGGCUCAACUUGAAGUCUGCACAAGAAACUGCCGGGCUUGAGUAUGGGAGAGGUGAGUGGAAUUUCCGGUGUAGCGGUGAAAUGCGUAGAUAUCGGAAGGAACACCUGUGGCGAAAGCGGCUCACUGGACCAUUACUGACACUGAGGCACGAAAGCUAGGGGAGCAAACAGGAUUAGAUACCCUGGUAGUCCUAGCCCUAAACGAUGAUCGCUUGGUGUGGCGGGUAUCCAACCCUGCCGUGCCGAAGCUAACGCGUUAAGCGAUCCGCCUGGGGAGUACGGUCGCAAGGCUG